Molecule: long non-coding RNA, 1718 nt
Filed under: Marmota marmota marmota (Alpine marmot)
Lineage: Eukaryota; Metazoa; Chordata; Mammalia; Rodentia; Sciuridae
Description: lncRNA (ENSMMMG00000015046.1)
Source: RNAcentral
GGGCUGCCCCCCUGACCCUCCCCGGUCCCCCCCCCAUUCUGCCUGGAGCUGUACAAGCCCCCCAGCUGCCGCGGCCAGAAGAUCAAGGCCUGCAAGACAGACGGCGAGGGCAAGGUGGUGGAGGGCCGGCACGGCUCCUACCGCAUCUCGGCCUCCAGCGCCGAGGAGCGGGACCAGUGGAUCGAGGCCAUCCGGGCCAGCAUCACCCGUGUCCCCUUCUACGACCUGGUCUCCGCUCGGAAGAAGAAGAUCGCCAGCAGGAAGUGAGGCUCCCGGGAGGUGGCACGGGGCCGGCACCCUGGUCCCCUGGACCUGUGGAACCCCUCCCCCAGGGCGCCCUCUCCGGGCCACAGACACCGCCACCCGCCAGGGGUGGGCAGGACGGAGGACACAGAGCCUGGCUGUGAGACCGACGCGCAGCUCUGGGGCGAGCCCGGAGCCCUGGCCCAGGCCCACUGCAGUGAGGGCCAGGAGAAGGGCGGAGAGAAGCCAGCUGGACCCGGACACCCAGCCCUCCCUGGGCAGCCUGUCCUCAGCCCUUUGCUCUCAGAAGCUCCGCAGCCCUCAAAGCAGGGGGCUGAGGCUCCUGGGGCUCCCGCCCUCGCCAGCCCUCCGCCUGCUCAGGUCUGCAGGUCGGGCCCCGCCCUCGCUGCCUGAGACCCACGAACAGGACCCAGGAGCCCAGACCCACGGUCCAGACCUACCUCUGGCCCUCCCCGCGCCCCCGGCCAAGCCGGGCCCCUCCCUGGUUCCUGCAGAACCACAGAGUUUGGACUGGAAACGUCUGGGCCUGCGGGUUCCAGGCCCACGAGCAGCUAGGGCCGGUGGCACUGGUCUGCUGAGCUGGGUGACAGUCCUGGCUGCUGGGGGAGCAGGGCGGACUCCACCCCAGGCUGUCCACCUGGGAGGCAGGACAGGCAGGACUCCAGCAGGACGGUGCUGCCAUCAGGGUGGAGCUUUGCAGGCCUGGUCCCCAGGAGGACUUCCUGGAGGCAGCGGCCAAACCCAGGAGCGGCACACGGGGUCUCCCUUGGUUUCCCUGCUGGACACGGUAGUGAGGGGUGGCGCAGCGGGUCCCAGCGCCCCAGGCCCUGCCCAGUGCAGCACAUGGGCGAGCAGGGCCACCAAGCCCUGGCAGACAGCUCCGUCUCCAGGGAGGCUCCGCCUGGAGGAGGAUCCGGGGACAGUCUUCCCAGAAGCUCUGCUCACCCUCGGGCAGGGGAGCCCUGCAGGGAGCCUCCCUGGCAAGGCAGCAGGAAGCGGGCAGCAGGGGCGGGCGGAGCAGUGGGUUCCCCAGGAGGAGCCGCAGUGGCCACAUGGCCCUCCGCCCCUCGCCCCGCCUUCGUGCACGCUGUCCAGGGGUCGGGUGGAGAGGCUACAGAAGGUGGUGGGAGCUCUUUCUGGAGAUGGCAGGUACCUGGCAGCCGUGUUGCACCCCUGCGGGCAUCGGCAGGACAUGUGGAGACUUCUUCAGAUCACAGCCUGUGGCGCCGUCCCAUUAGGCCAGUGAAAGGGCCUCAGGGGUCCGUGGAAGGAACACUGGCCGGGGGCUGAGGUCAAGGUCCUCUCCUGCCUCUGGCUCACGUGAACUCUGCGACCUUCAUCUAUUCCUGCCCUCGCUGGUCCCCAGCUCCUCCCAUCAGUAAAGGACAGGCACGAGUGGCUGAUCUGAUGGUCUCUCGGACGGAGGACAGAAUAAAGUCCCCGUCCAGCGCGCA